RNAcentral lists this ribosomal RNA (552 nucleotides) under Bifidobacterium longum subsp. suillum. Its description in RNAcentral is "bacterial SSU rRNA". It matches the Rfam family "Bacterial small subunit ribosomal RNA", at positions 146 to 713 of the family's 1533-position model. Lineage: Bacteria; Bacillati; Actinomycetota; Actinomycetes; Bifidobacteriales; Bifidobacteriaceae. The record is from RNAcentral.
UCUCCUGGAAACGGGUGGUAAUGCCGGAUGCUCCAGUUGAUCGCAUGGUCUUCUGGGAAAGCUUUCGCGGUAUGGGAUGGGGUCGCGUCCUAUCAGCUUGACGGCGGGGUAACGGCCCACCGUGGCUUCGACGGGUAGCCGGCCUGAGAGGGCGACCGGCCACAUUGGGACUGAGAUACGGCCCAGACUCCUACGGGAGGCAGCAGUGGGGAAUAUUGCACAAUGGGCGCAAGCCUGAUGCAGCGACGCCGCGUGAGGGAUGGAGGCCUUCGGGUUGUAAACCUCUUUUAUCGGGGAGCAAGCGAGAGUGAGUUUACCCGUUGAAUAAGCACCGGCUAACUACGUGCCAGCAGCCGCGGUAAUACGUAGGGUGCAAGCGUUAUCCGGAAUUAUUGGGCGUAAAGGGCUCGUAGGCGGUUCGUCGCGUCCGGUGUGAAAGUCCAUCGCUUAACGGUGGAUCCGCGCCGGGUACGGGCGGGCUUGAGUGCGGUAGGGGAGACUGGAAUUCCCGGUGUGACGGUGGAAUGUGUAGAUAUCGGGAAGAACACCAAA